GGAGCUAGAUCACGUUUCACAAUUAGUGGUGGUUCUUUUCCAUGUUUGUUUUGCACUUUAAAAAAGAGAGAACACAUGCAAAUGAACUUGCUUGUGUGUAUUUGAUGGCUCCAAGGGCUAUAAAUUACAAACAAAACACAUCCCAGACAUUAGGAGUUCAUAAGUAUAUUUAAUGAAAUUGGUGGUUUUAGGAAGUCAACUUUAGUUUUGCUUUGUUUGCAUGUCCACUAAUUUUUUUAUUUUGAUAUUAGUCUUUUUUAAAAAAUUUUACAGUAGUCAUUGAAAGUUAUGUUUCUUUGUUUACUUCAUUUUUUCCUCUAAAUAUUCAAGACUGGGACAAAAGUAUAAAUAUUAUUUAUUUCAGGUAGAAUUUUUUUGGUGUAGUUUUUUAAUAUAUACUUGAAGGAAAUGUUUCACCUUAUUUUUGGUCUUUGUUUAUUCAUUUAGACCCUGCAAGUUGAUUCUCAUUAAUUGUCAGAUUCCACUACACUUUCUUCCUCAUAGGUAGUAAUUACCAGUGUAACUAAGCAUUUGUGUUCUGAUAUCUGAGGCCAGUAACUAUUAAUAUCUAGUUCUCAGAGCAUUUGGAAAGGUUAUCUUAAAUGGCUACCUAAAUUGAAAUCCUUUUCAGAAAAAAUAUAAUUGCAAAUAGGUAGGAGUGGCCUAAAUUAUCUAAUGUAAUAAAGUCAGACAAAAUGCAUACUUUAUAGUUCAAGAUUUUCGGUAUAUAAAAUCUGUCCUUUCCUACCUGGACAUGUCCCAUUAAAAAGUGGAAGAUUUUAAAUAAUUUCUUUACAGAUGUUUUAUUUAAGCAGGUAGCACAAUCUACUAAUGUUGUUUGAUCUGUGUUUGUUAUACUGGUUGUAAUUAAUUUUUUUAAUUCAUGAACUAGCGGAAAAUUUAUUAAAUUAACUAUUAACCACAUUCACCUUGUAAAUGACUGUAUAAAACUUGUUGACAAUGCACUGACUUUAGAAAGAUGUUAAUGUGCAUAAAUAGAGUGUAAAUAAAAUAGUGUUGAUGUACUGAAAUAUGAACUGUAUAAAAAGUAUUAGUAAUUGUAUAUGGGGUGUACCUGUUUAUCUGUAACUGUUAUCCAA
Molecule: long non-coding RNA, 1100 nt
Filed under: Homo sapiens (human)
Lineage: Eukaryota; Metazoa; Chordata; Mammalia; Primates; Hominidae
Description: non-protein coding lnc-TBC1D28-7:22
Source: RNAcentral